UCAUGGAUGAACAUGUUACUAAAGAUUCUCCCAGAGAAGGGAUAUAAGAUGUUUAGGGUUUCUGAAAGAGAUUUCUUCAGCUGAGUCAAAAUAUUGGAGGUGUUGGUAUCACUCGGGGGAUAAAAUAAUAUGAUUGGAACAUAAGUGGUGGGAGUUAGCUGAUCAAAUACACAGAGUUUGAAGGGUUCUUUUAGAUGAAUUUCUGGGGAAGAUGGUUUGAUGAUUUCUUUUGAAAGAAUCUGAGCCUCAAACUUCAUCAUUUCUUUGUUUUUUUUCCCUCACCAAUAUGUUUACACAAACUCUAUAGGAAGGAGAAAAAUAUAUAAACUAUUGGAGAUCAAAGCCUCCACUAUAAGAUCUUCUAGUUUUGGCUAAACUACUAUAAAAGCCCUUCACUUAGUUUACCUUUGUUAAAGCCCUUCACUAUAAGAUCUCCAAUAAAUCUGCCAAAAAUAUUGUUAAUAAUAGUAAACAAUUGUAUUAAACAUGGAUAAUAAGUGUAGAUAGUAACAUAUUUUGAUGAAUUACCCAAAAAUUCUAUUUUUUUCGAAAAAAUAUAUCGGAUUAGACCGGUUUUUUUUAAUUUAUCGGAUUAAGCUGAUUUUGGAGAGAGUGUGGAUUUGGCAGGAAAGUGCUUCUAGCUAGAUGCACUUUCCUGCUCAGUCAACAAAGCACAUCUAGCUAGACGCAUUUUCCCUAAUGGCUACCCACUCAGCGGUCGAAUUCUAAUGGCUCCCCCCUAACAGUAACUCUUUUCCCCUAUUUAAACCCCAAAUUUCCCACUUUUUCAAUUCACUCUCUACUCUCUCAAUUCAUUCUCAAUCCUCUCUUAAUUCUCACUCAAUUCUCUCAGUUCACUCUCAUUUUUUAUUAAAAUUGUAUUAAGGUUUUUUAAUUUUUUUGUAUUACAAUUUUUAUUUGUAUUUAUUGAAAUUAUUAAUGACAAAUUCUCUUAUUCGUUUAGAUGACAAGCACAUUUCGACCGUUCAAUUGCAAAUGGUAAGAAUUUUUUUAUUACUUUUAAUCUAAUCUAAUUUAAUUAUUUUGUUGUUAUAUUGAAAUUUAAGAUUUUGUAUUUUUUUUUAUAAUUAGCUAGAAGAUCGGAUUUUGGAGACGUACAUUCGCAAUCUAUCUACUCCUUUAUCGUUUUUAAUCGAACCAUACUUGUGAGAUGCAAGAUUUUUGCACAUCGCCCGUAUGGGUAAGGGGUGCAAAUUGGAACUCGAACUUGUAAGCGUGUUGGUGGAAAGAUGGUUAAAGUCUUAUUGGUUUGAGAUGUGAAAUUGGACUUAUAUUUUGUGAUGUUUUCACUUAGGUCUUAAGAUCAACUAUACUUUGUUAAAUGACAAGAUGAAACUAAAAAGGUAUGAGCUUGUAGGAUUCUGCCUACAAGGUCGCGACACUAGCUUUCAACAUUACUACGUCCUUUGUUUGAGGUCGCAACGUUAACUCAUUGUUUUCAAAGUCGCGACAUUGCACCAUCAAAGUCAUGACACCAUGUUUCUGCCAUUGAUGACGUGACGUGAAACCUUCAUGGUGGCGACGCCAACUCGAUAAAACUUGAUAACUUUGCAUUUUGGUCCUCAUAUGGUCUCGGGUUAUCAUAGGAGCUUUCAUAAGCUUGUAUAAACCCAAAUAUGAGUUGGAAGAAUGUUUUAUUGAUGUUUUAUCUGAAAUAACUUAUAUAAAAAAUGUCCUUUUUUGAAAGAACAAUUUUGUAUGUUGAUAUGUGAGGGUGAGUUACAAUAUAAAUGCAAGAGGUAGAAAAGAAAAAUGAAUGCUCUUAUUAUAGCUCCUAGUUGUUUACAUUGAUUUCACUCUUUAGUAAUUGUGCUUACUUCAAGAAGGAAAAAAUAAUGCUCAUAGCCUACACUUUGCACCCUUUUCUUUGAAUUAUUAUUAGCUUAAAUUGUCUAGUCACCUAUUUUAAGAAGUUAUUUAAUUUAAUAAUUUUCGAUAGCUUAAUUGCAAUUAGUGAUGUUUAUGAAUUGGGUUGGGUCGGAUUUGGGUCGAACUCAUGCAACGUAUUUAAAUCAAUUCUCUAAGUUCGGGACCGACUCAGUCCAGAAAAUGGACUUACUUUUUUGUUCAAACUCGAUCCGAUUUAAGAAAAGUAAAUCUGUGCUUGACCCACCCAUAUUUAAAAUCUAGUUGGAUUUUAAUAUAAGUGUUGAAUGCAUGUGUUUGAUUUAUAUAAUUAUAUAUUUUUUCAUAUUCAUAUUCAAAUUUUUAGUAGAUGAGCUGGGGCGUCACCUCAUCCUGUAUUUCUUUCCAAUUAUUUAAUGACACUUCAACAAUUCUUUUCACGUCAUUGAUACAUAAUUUUGGUAAUUUUUUAAACCCCUAAACCUUGAAUUUUGAACCCAAAACCCCAAACCCCAACUCAAACCCCAACCCUAAAUCUUAAACACUGACCUCUAAACUUGACCAAUUAAUUAAAAGUUGUAAUUUCCCAUUGAUAAGGGUUAUAAGUUGAAUUAAUUAUUCUAAGUUAUUUGAAUGGUUUAAUUAAAUGAAAAUUAUUAUUUAGAUCAAUAAACAAACCAAACAAAUCUAAACUGAGAAAAAGCUAAAAUGUUGGAUUAGUCGUCGGCUUCGUUUUUACAAUUGUUUUUGUCGAGGUAAGUUCAUAUAAAGAUUUAAAUUCAUUAAUUGAUGUUCUGAAUGUAGUUUUGAUAAAUAUUAUACUAUGUAUAGAUUAGAUUGAUAGUUAUUUGAUGUUUUGGUAUUUCAGAUAUAAUCAUAAUGAUAGCUAAAUUGAAUGUUAUAAUUGAAAAAUGUACAUUUCAUGCUCACGUGGCAAAUAUAAAAAAAUCCAUAUUUUUUAAAUUUAAAAGAAAUAAAAUGUGCAUUUUAAUUACAUUAAUUAAAAUUAAAAUUUUAUGUUGUUGAUUUGGAACUACGUAGCAAAUUGUUAAAAAUCUUUAUUGAUUUAAAAAAAAUUAAAAAAAUUAUAGAUUUUUUAAAGUUUUUUAACACUUGAUAAUUUUAUUUAUUUUUAGAUUUUUUUAAUUUUUUGAAGUUUUUUUUUUAAAUUUUGUACUCUUCUAAAAUGAAUUUGUACAACUGUUUGUGCAAAUUUAUUUGAAUAUGAAGAACUUAUUGUUUAGAUUCAUUCUAUAUGCAUAUUUUAUUUUAUUUUUUAAAAAGAUUUUAUAUUUUCAAAAAAUAAUUAUUCAAAAUAAAAAAAAAUAUUUUUUUUGCUGACUAGGCAUGCUAGGUUAGCAUACUACCACAUGGCAAAUUUUAGUGGUUUUUGUCAACCAUGUUAAUGGUUAAAUCAGUCAAGUGACAGUUUCUGUUAAUGAAAGGAACCAAUAAAUUUUUUUAUUUUUUAUUGAGAUUUUUUUUUGACCCUUGGCAAAAGAAAAUUACUUGUGCUAAUUGUAAGAAUUGACAUAAGUAACUUUAAGGACUAAUAUGAUAAUAAAAAAAAAGUUAAAUACGUCAUGUAAGUAUUUAUUAUCCAAAUAAUUUCCAUAUCUAUUUAUUAAUUAAAAUAUUCUAUAAUCCCAUAACCAAUUAACCAAUUAACCGACCUUAGCUAAGUUGGUAGAGCGGAGGACUGUAGUAGAAUAUCCAAACAGCCAUCCUUAGGUCGCUGGUUCGAAUCCGGCAGGUCGGAUAUUGCCCUUUUUUUUUUUUUUACAAUUUAUUUAAAAGAAUAGGUUAAAUUUUGCUUUUAGUCCCUAUACUUUACUUGGUACUUUUUCAAAUUUUAAAGUUGCUUUGCAUCACUUUUUCACCUUAUUAAGAGAAUAGGUUAAAUUCUACUAUUAGUCCUGAUCAAAUUGUAACUGUUAAAUAAAUUAGUUUUUGUUAUUUCUAAAAUUUGAAAUGAGAAAUACAUUAUCACAUAUCUAUUAUUUCCAAAGAUGAUAUCAGUUUAAUUCAAUCAAACUUUUUUAGAAUUUUCGAACCAUCCAUCAUACUUUAAUUUAGUAAAUGAAUCAUAAUAAAAUGAUAAAAAUAAAUCAUAUUUAUAAUUAAAUAUUUAUUAAGAAAUGAUAAAAAUUUAUAUAAUUUUUUUUAUAAAAGAUGUAUUCAAUAAAUGAAUACUUAUGUAAAUUCUUAUCAAUUUCGGUUUCAAUCUUUAUUUAAAAAUACUAUUUUUGUAAUUGUUUUAUUUAAAAUUUUGAAUAAAAAUAAUAAAAGAUAAAAGAUACUAUUUUUAAAUUAAAAUUUACAAUAUAUCAAUUUUUUUAUAUAUUUUUUACAAAUUCUUUAAUAAUGAUUAGAAUUUUUUUAUCACUAUAUUUCAAAUAUCAAAAUAAUUUAUAUCUAUUUAUUAUUUAAUUAAUUAUUAUUUUGAAUAAUGUUACUUUACAUUAAUCACAACAUGAUAAAAUGCUUUAAUUAUGAUUUGAAUUUUUUAUUAUAAUAUUUGAAUGAUUAAAUAAGUUAAUGUAUUUUAAUUAUAUUCAACCAUUCAAAUAAAGCAUAUUAUUGAACCUCAUGUGAUGGCUUGAUGGUCAAAGGUGUUCAUUGUCCUAGGUGUGACUUGAGUUCAAGUCGCGUUGGUUGUUUGGGCUUUACCUUGCUAUUGUAAUUCACAAAAAAAGGAAUAUUAUUUUAAACUAAUUAUGAUAAUUAUAAAAAAAUAUUUAAAAAAUUAAUUAAAAAUUAAACACAUAAAAUCACAUUGUAAUUAUAAAAAUUAAUUUGCAAAAAAAAAAAAAAAACUGUUGUUUUGCUGCCAUUUCACUGUUAUGUUGUUAUUGUUUGCAUAUUGUAUAAUUCUUGUUUUAUUGUUAAUUUAUUACUAUUUUAGAGGCAUUUGUUUGUUAAGUUACACCUAUCUUAGUGUUAUUUAAGUAUAAAAACAUUUUUAAAUUUAUUUUCAGUUUGUUGAGAAAUAUUUAUUUUACUGUUUUUAGUAUCUUUCAUGUUUUUUUUUUAAAAAUUAACAUAGACCGAAUUAGGUUCGGGUUUAACAUCUAUAAAACGAACCUAAAAUUUUGUUAGGACCGACUUGAACCCGACCCGACACAGGUAUAGUUUAAACCCUUGAAACAUCAUUUUCUCCGAUGUGGAGUCAUAGUUUAAAAUGUCCUCACACAGCUGCACCAAAAUGGCAUGGUGGAGUGGACACAUGCCUUUCUUCUACAAGCCUUCGUGCCUCUGAUGUUUUGGAAAGAUGCGCUUUAUUCUACGACCUUUAUAAUCAAAAUACUUACUUCAAAGGCUAUUCAUCACAGGAACUCCUCAUGAAAUGGUCUUUGGAAGCAAGCUAGAUUAUGGUUAUCUAAAGGUCUUUGGCUGUAAGUGUUUUCCUUACCUUAUACCUUUCAAUAAAAAUAAACUUGAAUCUCAUUCAAUGCCUUGAACAUGCCUUGGUUAUUGUUCAAAUCACAAAGGUUACAAGUGUCUUACAGAUGAUGGGAGGGCCGAUAUGGUAUUACGUGAAUCAAUAAAUUCGAUACGGGUAUGAGUAAUGGUAUGAAUCGAAAAGGAAAUGAAUAUGUUCUUAGUAGUAGAAACUAUGGUAUUAUUUGGUUAUAUUAAAUUGUUGAAUGCAAUAUUUGUAUGAAUUGAUAUACAAAGCUAUUAUGCAUAUAUCAUAUCUUAAUGAAAUGUGUAUUGGCUAAAGGCUGAAUUGGAAUUGAUUGUGCAUAAUCUCGGUUUUGAUAUAUGCAUGUUAAUAGUUUUGGUUGAAUUAACUUGAAUCAUAAAAGUAUUGUUGAGCUUUAUCACUUAGCGUAUGGUUUGUUUAUUCCAUGUGCAGAUAUCCAUAAAUCUUGAAGCCUCGAGAGGUGAAACAAUGUCCAAAUUGUUGAUUCUGGACUCAGAAAUGUUUGCACAAUUCUCACAUUUCAAUAGAUGACAUGUACCUAAAAUUGGACCGAUUUUUAGGUUAUAAAUGGUCAAAUUAGUGUAAUUGAAUAAUGUAUGGAAAUGAAUAGUUCAUGAAAUUGGACCUAUAUAUUGUGAUGUUUGUCAUUUAGGUCUUAAGAUCAGCUAUACUUUGUUAAAUGGCAAGUUGAAAUUACAGAGUUAUGAGCUUGUAGGAUAUUCAGCCUACAAGGUCGUGACACCAGCUUUCAACGUCACGGCGUCUCCUGUUUAAGGUCACGAUGUCAACUCCCUGUUUUCAUUGCGACAUUGCACCAUCAGAGUCGCGACACCAUGUUUUUGCCAUUGAUGUCGUGACGUGAAACCUUCAUGGUGGCGGCGCCAACUCGAUAAAAUUUAAAAACUUUACAUUUUGGUCAUCAUGUGAUCUCAGAUUAUCAUAGGAGCUUUCGUAAGCUCUUAUAACCCCGGAUAUGAGUUGAAAUAAUGUUUUAUUGAUGUUUUAUCUGAAAUAACUUGUAUAAAUUAUUGAAUGGAUCGAUAUUGUAUUCCUAGUUACUUUGACAAUGAAUGUGACAUCCCGUAACUCGGACCCGACGAUCAGGUCGGAUAUAGGGUGUUACAGAUUCUUUAAAAGAAAUUAGUUUUAGAUGUAUUUGAUGAUAAAAUUAAAUCAACUAGAUUGAUAUGACAGUUUUAUUAUUUUAAAAAUUAUAUUAAAAAUGUAUUUUUGAUAUUUAAAUUAAAAUGAAAAUAUUUUUAUUAAUAAAUAUUAAUUGUAUAGGUCAAAUUUUGCUAUUGACCCUAUAUUUUGCAUAAGUUGUAAAUUUAAUACCAAUAAUUUAAUUUCGUUAUUUUCAGUCUCUAUGCUUUUAGAAUUUGAAAAUUUCAGUCCAGUAAUUAUAAAAUUCAUUAAGUUCUGUUAUUUUCAAAAUCUGAUAAGUCAAAUAUAUUAUCGCAUGUGUAAUGUUAUGUCAGCUUGUUAGUCUCAUAUAUUACUCACAAAAAAUUCAGUUAAUAGAUUUAAUGAGUGUUGUUUACAUUAAGACUAAAAUUUCGAAAUUAAAAGGAAUAUAAUGACUAAAAUUGAUCCAAUUGGAGAAUAUAAACCAAAUCUAUGACUUUACGAUUCAUACAUGAUUAAUAGCAUAAUUUAACUAAACAAAUUUGACUGUUACCAUUUGAUUAGGACUAAAAUUAAUCAAAUUAAAGCGCAAAUAUUAAUUUCAUAACUUAUAUAAAAGUACAUGGACUAAUAACAAAAUGUAACCAAUUUUAAUGUCCUUUUUUGAAAGAAUAAUUUUUUAUGUUGAUAUGUCAGGUAGAGGUGCUCAUGGGCCGGGCCCGGCCGGGUUCGGGCCAAGCCCAUAAAAAAUUUCGGCCCGGCCCGAAAUAUGGGCCUGAAAUUUUGUCCAGGCCCAGGCCCGGCCCGGGAAAAAAAUCAUAAGCCCGGGCCCAGCCCGGCCCAUUUUUUAAAUAAAUACCAAAAAAUUAUUUUAAAAAUUAAAAAAAGUAUUUUAAAAUACUUUUUAAAAUUUUAUAUUUUAAAAUUAAAAAAAUUUUAAAAAUAUUUUAAAAAUAUUUUAAAAUUAAAAAAUAAUAAAAAAGUAUUUUAAAAUUAAAAAAUUUAAAAAAUAAAUAUAUUUAUUAUAUCGGGCCGGGUCGGGCCCGGGCCAAAAAACUGGUGCCCGAGGCUGGGCCCGUUUUCUAAACGGGCCUAGUUUUUUUGCCCAAUCCCAUAUUUCGGGCCUAUAUUUUUACCCAAACCCUCCCAUAUUUCGGGCGGACCGUCGGGUAAUGUCAGGGUGAGUUACAAUAUAAAUGCAAGAGGUAGAUAGGGGUGAACAAAAUUCGAUUCUAUUCGAUUCGAAAAACUCGAUAAAAAAACUAAAUUUUGAAUUAACUAGUUUGAGUUAUUCGGAUCAACUCGAAUAAAAAAAUUAAAAUUUCCGGUUUAACUCGAAUAUGAAUUACACAAUUCGAGUAAACAGAAAAUCUAAAUAAGAAAAGACAAAACCACGUCGUUUUGGUAAAUGUUUAUCUUUUCUAAAGUUAAAAGUCAAAACCAUUAAAUUAAAAGGCAAAACUAUUUUGUUUUGAUAAAUGUUUACCAAUCAGUCUUACUUAUGUAAUUAAAUAAUCUUGUACUUCGUCUACUAGUUAAAUAAUCAAUCCAUAUAAACACAAUAUUGAGUAUAAAUAAUGUGAUUCGUUAACUCGACUUCAAAUUUUUUCGAUUCGAAAACUAUUCAAAUUAAUUUAAUUACCAAAAAAAAUUCGUCAACUCAAUUAAUUUAAAAUUUUUUAAGUCGAUUUUACUCGACGUGACUCAACGCUGAACGGUCAGAUUGUUUAAAUUGAAUUCACUCAGUAGUAACUGUGCUUACCUACUUGCCACUUGGACGACAGACUUUCGACCAACUUAUUUAUGUGUAUUUAAUUUUCUGCAGUUUGUGUUCAAAUUAAAGCGUACUUCAAAAAUGAAAAAUUUAAUGCUCCUAGCCUUAGCUUUUUCUUUGAAUUAUUAUUAUUAUUAUACUUAAUUAAAUAACUCUUGUUAGCUUAAUUACAAUUAGAGAUAUUCAUGUAUUGGGUCGAGUUAAGUUUGGAUUAAGCGCAAAUAAAGUAUUUAGAUUACUUCUUUAAGUUCGGGUUCAGCUCAAUCCAAAAAAUAAGUUUAUUUUUUAUCCAAACCUUUAAAAAAAAAACUCGAAUCUAACCCGAUCAUAUUUAAGUUUUUUAAAUUAAUUUUUAUUUAAAAAUAGUUUUUUUUACUUUUAUUUAUUUUUUAUCCCUCUAAAAUAAUUUUUUUAACUUCGUCCUUAGUGUUGGAUAUAAAUAUAAAAGAAUAACCAUAAUUGAUGCUUUGAAUGUGUUCUCCAUUCAUGUAUUUAAACUGGUUUUUUUGGUAAAAAAAUAUUUUUUAACAGGUAUGAUUUGAUAAUAUUAAAAUCUAGCUUCCAAAUGAUUAGAAUCAGAAUUUCACUGUUGAGAUUUUUUAAGAAAUUGACUCUUAAAUGUACUAUUUUUUUCCUUUGAAAAGACAGUAUAAAUAGGAGAUUAUUCCUUAAACUUCUCCCAUUAUUUUAUUCUUGGUGUUUUGCGGAAUUACACGAGAGAGAAAUUUUGUUAGGAGAUUGGGUUUUAAACCAGACCGUCUGUGAACCCUCUAAUCUUUCAUGGGAAUUGAACCUAGUCUGGUUUCGUUGGUUUUCUUUUAGCUUAUUUUUCGAUCAUAUUUUCAACCAACUGCUUUUGUUUUUUUCAAUUUUGAUUCCUUUAUUAGAAGAGCAAUAUCAAUUAUGUUCCACAUUCUUUAUCCGGGUAUAUAGAUAUUGAAAUACUGUGUUAACCUUGGGGCGACGUCCACUAUACGAUUACACAGAUCAGAACAAAUUUGCUUUUAAGACAGUGAUUCUUCCACAGCACGAUGAUUGCUCUAUUUAUUUAGACUCAGCUUGAUUUCCUAUUAGCGCUAAACAGUUUUAUUUUAUAGUAGUAUAUUUUUAACAUUAAUAACAUGAAAACAUUACUGAAAUAUCAUUAAGAUGAGGCAAUUAUUUCUAAUGAAAAUGAUUUCCAAUAAAUAAUAUUUUAAACACUAACUGAUAAAAAAAAUUGAAAAGAAAAGAAAAACUAAUAAUCCGGCCAACAUAGCAAUCCAACAGCAAUGCUUAAAAAUACCUGAAAGACGAAAUAUAAAAGUAGAAACCAUAUACUACUGAAAAUACCUUAUUCAUAGUAGAGGAGAUUUUAUUGAUCAUCAAAGUGUUUCCAGAGACGCUUACAAGCUUGAAAUCUGGGGACUUGGAGAAGCAAAGUUUAGGAAUUCAUGAUCUUUUUGUAGUGCAGACAUUUUGGUUUCAUCUAAGGUUAUCCAAGCUUCUAUUCCUUUCCCAUAUUUGGUUUCAACGAGAACAGUGAAGUUUCUAAAUUCAGGCCCUGCUUUUCCCAGUAUUGCAAAUGAACAAGGUUGCCCCCAUCCGAAAUCUAGUUUGUGAAAAUCAGUAUUGAUCCAGCUGGUGAAGGCGAAAAUAUCAGGUUUUUCAAAGGAAAACAACAGCUCCAGCUGGUUCAAGUGCUCAGCGAUGGCUUCAAACCCUUGUUCACCUUGGAUUGAUCUCAUGUAUUCGUCGUCGAAAACAGCAAUGGAUUGACUCAUCAACUCGACCAAUGUGGAUAACUCGGUGCCUGUCUCGGCUGGAUUCGAGAGUGCACUCGCCCACCAAAAUACAUUCCCAACCGAACCAUCUAAUGUCGUAAGCUUCCCUUUUGACCUCAUGUUCACUGCUUGGACAACAAUGGAUGGUUUCAAGGUUCCUUGUAUCGCCCUGGAUGCCGCCAUUGAACAUUUCCAGAUGAAACCAGAGACAGCUUCGGUUCGUGUCGGUGUAGUCUCGACUUCCCCUUUUGCCAUGUCCUUUAGGAUGGCUACUGCUUCCUCAUUAAACACAAAUUUCCGUGUAACAAAAUUACCUUUGGUGAACCAUAAGUUUUCCAUCAUGGAUAUGUAAUUCUUGGGCAUUGGAUUUUUAGGUGGAAAGAUCAAGGAGGCCUUAGAUAAGGCAGGAAAUUUAAUUUCAGGGUGGUAUCCUUGGCAGAUUGUUCUCCAAACAAAGGUGAAAAUGAAGCCUGUUUUGGCGUCAGUGAUUUUAUGUGAGGCGCAGAUGCCUAAAGCUACUCCCCCACAUGCAAACAUGGUGACUUGACAAACCAAGAGAGGACCCUGAUGAUUUGAUUCCUUGUAGAAAGGAGGGCAUGGGAGCAAGUUGUUCAAGGUCUCAAUUUGAUGAUGCCUGAGAAACUCGGAUAAUCGACAACCGAUUCGAGCCGAUAAAAACGGAACACCGGCGUCGAAAUCAUGGAUGAACAUGUUACUAAAGAUUCUCCCAGAGAAGGGAUAUAAGAUGUUUAGGGUUUCUGAAAGAGAUUUCUUCAGCUGAGUCAAAAUAUUGGAGGUGUUGGUAUCACUCGGGGGAUAAAAUAAUAUGAUUGGAACAUAAGUGGUGGGAGUUAGCUGAUCAAAUACACAGAGUUUGAAGGGUUCUUUUAGAUGAAUUUCUGGGGAAGAUGGUUUGAUGAUUUCUUUUGAAAGAAUCUGAGCCUCAAACUUCAUCAUUUCUUUGUUUUUUUUCCCUCACCAAUAUGUUUACACAAACUCUAUAGGAAGGAGAAAAAUAUAUAAACUAUUGGAGAUCAAAGCCUCCACUAUAAGAUCUUCUAGUUUUGGCUAAACUACUAUAAAAGCCCUUCACUUAGUUUACCUUUGUUAAAGCCCUUCACUAUAAGAUCUCCAAUAAAUCUGCCAAAAAUAUUGUUAAUAAUAGUAAACAAUUGUAUUAAACAUGGAUAAUAAGUGUAGAUAGUAACAUAUUUUGAUGAAUUACCCAAAAAUUCUAUUUUUUUCGAAAAAAUAUAUCGGAUUAGACCGGUUUUUUUUUAAUUUAUCGGAUUAAGCUGAUUUUGGAGAGAGUGUGGAUUUGGCAGGAAAGUGCUUCUAGCUAGAUGCGCUUUCCUGCUCAGUCAACAAAGCACAUCUAGCUAGACGCGUUUUCCCUAAUGGCUACCCACUCAGCGGUCGAAUUCUAAUGGCUCCCCCCUAACAGUAACUCUUUUCCCCUAUUUAAACCCCAAAUUUCUCACUUUUUCAAUUCACUCUCUACUCUCUCAAUUCAUUCUCAAUCCUCUCUUAAUUCUCACUCAAUUCUCUCAGUUCACUCUCAUUUUUUUAUUAAAAUUGUAUUAAGGUUUUUUAAUUUUUUUGUAUUACAAUUUUUAUUUGUAUUUAUUGAAAUUAUUAAUGACAAAUUCUCUUAUUCGUUUAGAUGACAAGCACAUUUCGACCGUUCAAUUGCAAAUGGUAAGAAUUUUUUUAUUACUUUUAAUCUAAUUUAAUUUAAUUAUUUUGUUGUUAUAUUGAAAUUUAAGAUUUUGUAUUUUUUUUAUAAUUAGCUAGAAGAUCGGAUUUUGGAGACGUACAUUCGCAAUCUAUCUACUCCUUUAUCGUUUUUAAUCGAACCAUACUUGUGAGAUGCAAGAUUUUUGCACAUCGCCCGUAUGGGUAAGGGGUGCAAAUUGGAACUCGAACUUGUAAGCGUGUUGGUGGAAAGAUGGUUAAAGUCUUAUUGGUUUGAGAUGUGAAAUUGGACCUAUAUAUUGUGAUGUUUUCACUUAGGUCUUAAGAUCAACUAUACUUUGUUAAAUGACAAGAUGAAACUAAAAAGGUAUGAGCUUGUAGGAUUCUGCCUACAAGGUCGCGACACUAGCUUUCAACAUUACUACGUCCUUUGUUUGAGGUCGCAACGUUAACUCAUUGUUUUCAAAGUCGCGACAUUGCACCAUCAAAGUCAUGACACCAUGUUUUUGCCAUUGAUGUCGUGACGUGAAACCUUCAUGGUGGCGGCGCCAACUCGAUAAAAUUUAAAAACUUUACAUUUUGGUCAUCAUGUGAUCUCAGAUUAUCAUAGGAGCUUUCGUAAGCUCUUAUAACCCCGGAUAUGAGUUGAAAUAAUGUUUUAUUGAUGUUUUAUCUGAAAUAACUUGUAUAAAUUAUUGAAUGGAUCGAUAUUGUAUUCCUAGUUACUUUGACAAUGAAUGUGACAUCCCGUAACUCGGACCCGACGAUCAGGUCGGAUAUAGGGUGUUACAGAUUCUUUAAAAGAAAUUAGUUUUAGAUGUAUUUACUGAUAAAAUUAAAUCAACUAGAUUGAUAUGACAGUUUUAUUAUUUUAAAAAUUAUAUUAAAAAUGUAUUUUUGAUAUUUAAAUUAAAAUGAAAAUAUUUUUAUUAAUAAAUAUUAAUUGUAUAGGUCAAAUUUUGCUAUUGACCCUAUAUUUUGCAUAAGUUGUAAAUUUAAUACCAAUAAUUUAAUUUCGUUAUUUUCAGUCUCUAUGCUUUUAGAAUUUGAAAAUUUCAGUCCAGUAAUUAUAAAAUUCAUUAAGUUCUGUUAUUUUCAAAAUCUGAUAAGUCAAAUAUAUUAUCGCAUGUGUAAUGUUAUGUCAGCUUGUUAGUCUCAUAUAUUACUCACAAAAAAUUCAGUUAAUAGAUUUAAUGAGUGUUGUUUACAUUAAGACUAAAAUUUCGAAAUUAAAAGGAAUAUAAUGACUAAAAUUGAUCCAAUUGGAGAAUAUAAACCAAAUCUAUGACUUUACGAUUCAUACAUGAUUAAUAGCAUAAUUUAACUAAACAAAUUUGACUGUUACCAUUUGAUUAGGACUAAAAUUAAUCAAAUUAAAGCGCAAAUAUUAAUUUCAUAACUUAUAUAAAAGUACAUGGACUAAUAACAAAAUGUAACCAAUUUUAAUGUCCUUUUUUGAAAGAAUAAUUUUUUAUGUUGAUAUGUCAGGUAGAGGUGCUCAUGGGCCGGGCCCGGCCGGGUUCGGGCCAAGCCCAUAAAAAAUUUCGGCCCGGCCCGAAAUAUGGGCCUGAAAUUUUGUCCAGGCCCAGGCCCGGCCCGGGAAAAAAAUCAUAAGCCCGGGCCCAGCCCGGCCCAUUUUUUAAAUAAAUACCAAAAAAUUAUUUUAAAAAUUAAAAAAAGUAUUUUAAAAUACUUUUUAAAAUUUUAUAUUUUAAAAUUAAAAAAAUUUUAAAAAAAUUUUAAAAAUAUUUUAAAAUUAAAAAAUAAUAAAAAAGUAUUUUAAAAUUAAAAAAUUUAAAAAAUAAAUAUAUUUAUUAUAUUGGGCCGGGCCGGGCCCGGGUCAAAAAACUGGUGCCCGAGGCUCGGCCUGUAAUAGCCCGAUUUUAGGCUUAGUCGGAACAGUGGUUUCGGGACCACAAAUCUGACGAAAAAAAAAUGUAAUGGCUUGAAUUUUCAGAGGUGUCGGAACGGUGAUUCGAGAUCACUAAAUUCGACAAAUGGGUAGAAAAUAUUAUUAAUUUAGUAAGUAUAAGUUAAAUAUGAAGUUAGGAAAAUUUUUGAAAUAGUGAAUAGUGCACUAGAAAUAAAUAUUAAAAUAAUUAGAAUCGAAAUGAGGUAUCAAGACCUCGGGGAUUUUAAACUGAGCCAUAAAUAUUUUUAUAAAUAUUUAUGGAGUGUUAAAAAGUUAGUAUUAAAGUUUCGUUAAGAAAUUUUAAAGUUCCGAUAAUUAAUUGAACAAAAAGGACUAAAUUGUAACAAAUGCAAAAUUUUGGGAAAUGAUUAAAUAGCUUAAAUGAUAAAAGGAAGAGGGCUUAAAAAGCAAAUAGACCCAAGGUCUAUUUGGGCUGGACGGCAGAGGCAUGAAAUCAGCAAGAAAGUAAGGAGAAUUAAGGGCAAAAUUGGAAAAUUGCAAAAUUUGCUUAAUAAAGUUAGGACCCAAGUGGAAUUAUCUAGAUUUCUCUUCAUUUUUCUGAAUUCUCAUCAGCUAAAACACCAUGGAAGGGCUUCUUCAAGCUGGUUCUUCAUAUUUUUAUUACAAGUAAGUUCAAUUCUUGACUAUUUCUUGAAAUUUUUGUAUUUUUAUGACUUUUACAACUAGGCCCACUUGUUAAAUCCAUUAGUUUUUGAUUUUAUGAAAGAAGUUGAAAGUUGAUAUGAAUAUGUGCUGGAAGUAUAUGAUGAUUUAGCAUGAAAUUAGAGCUUUAAAUUGUUCAUAUGCUGAUUUUAUUGAAAGAAUUGAAUAGAAAGUGAAUGUUUGGGACCUAAUAGUAAAAGAGUUUGAAGAUAGAGUUAUAUGUGGAAAUUCUGAAUUUCAAUAGUUGUGUAACAACUUAUAAUGUCUAGUAAAGUACUAAUUGAGAAAAUUAGAUUAAUUGAGGGGUUAAUUGAGAAAGGACCGAAUUGUAUAAACUGUGAAAUUUGGGGCAAAAUAGAAAUCAACAUUUUGCACUAAAGCAGUUUUGGAUAGCAGCAGUAGUGUAACUUUGAAAAAUCACCAAAAAUUGUAGAGAUUGAAUUAGAGGAUGAAUAAAAUAUGAAAUUAAAGCUUAUUGAGUCUAGUUUCUUAUAAAAGAAAUGAUGUGAGCAAUGGAAUUGUAAAUCAUGAGAUAUAAUAGAUUUUGUGAGACAAGGUCAGAAUGAAUUCGGGUUCCCCUGUUCUGACUUUGGAAAAUCAUUAAAAAUUGUACAGAAAUUAUUAUGAGUUAUAGUUUAUAUGGUUAGAAUCCUUAAUGAGUCUAUUUUUAUAAGAAACAAGCUAAAACAUCAUCCGAAUUCUGUACAAUGAGAUAAUUAAUUUUUAGUGAAGAGUGGUCGGAACUGUCAGACAGCGAAACAGGGGAAACUUUAAAGAAUAAACUGUACUAUUUGGCUGAACCAAAAAUUAUGAAAAUUUUAUGGUAUGAAGAUAUGUGAGUCUAGUUUCAGGGAAAAUUAACGGAUCUUAAUUUGGAGCUCUGUAGCUCCGGAUAAAAAUAAUUUAGUGACUCUGACUCGGAUAAACAGCUUUGAAUAUACAUGUUAGUGAAUAUUGAAAUUAUGGUUAAUGUUGUUUAAGUGUGUUAUACACAUUAAGGAUGUGGAAUGGAGAGGAGGAGGAGGAAAAUUGGGAAAUAUAUGAAUGAUUCGUGUAUAAAUGGUCAUAUGUUUGAUUAUAACUCAUAAACGAUGAAAUAUGAAUGAUGCUUAUUUUUGUGCAUUAUUGGUCAUGGUUUAAGCUCAUGUGUGAAAAUAAAGUUUCAUAGUAUGUGUGUAUGGUAUAUUCAGUAUAUGAUUUGGCAUGAAAUAAUACCAUGAAUGGUUUAUGAAUUAACACAUGUUGGUAAGCCUGAUAUAUGAAUAAAUGAUCAAAUUGAGCGGAACGCCGGAUUUGAGUACUUCUGAUCAAGUGAUAAAGUGAUAAGUGGUAGCUUUAGCUACACUUAUCUGAUCAAGUGACAAGUGGAAAGUGAUAAGUAAUAGCUUCGGCUAUACUUAUCUGAUCAAGUGAUAAAGUGAUAAGUGAUAGCUUCGGCUAUACUUAUCUGAUCAAGUGACAAAGUGAUAAGUGGUAGCUUUAGCUACACUUAUCUGAUCAAGUGACAAGUGGAAAGUGAUAAGUGAUAGCUUCGGCUACACUUAUCUGAUCAAGUGACAAGUGAAAAGUGAUAAGUGAUAGCUUCGGCUAUACUUAUCUGAUCAAGAGACAAAGUGAUAAGUGAUAGCUUUAGCUACACUUAUCUGAUCAAGAGACAAAGUGAUAAGUGGCUACACUUAUCUGAUCAAGAAACAAAGUGAUAAGUGGCUACACUUAUGUGAUCAAGAAACAAAGUGAUAGGUGGCUACACUUAUCUGAUCAGGGACAAGUGAUAAGUGAUCAUACGUAAGACCAUAGUUAUACUAUGGCAAAGUGAAAGUGAAGUACUCAAUUUUCCGUGACCGUUCCCUAAUUUGAUUAAAGAUGGUAAGUGACAAAUGGGCCCAAAAGAAUUAAAGUAAAUGGAUAAGUGGUAGUGUAUUUAUAUCAGGACGAUGUUGUUAUUCAAACUAAAGUGAUAUUUUCAUUGCUAAAUUGAGAAUUUCAUAAAUGUGUUAUUGAAUGGUAUAAUCAAUAAACAUUGAGUUAAAUGGUAAAUACGUAUUAGUUUUGAAUUUGAUGUCAUUGAAUUGUACGUGAAUUAAAUGGAAAUUUCUAGUGAUAUGAUUUAAAUUAUGAGCAUGAGAAAUUGCGAAUUGAAUGAAAUGGAAAUGAAGCAUUAAAUUGCAUGAGUAUGUAUCGGGUCUCGCAGGCCCUAAUUAUUAUGAUUAUAAUAUUUUAAGGAUAUAUUGUGAAAAGUUAUAGAAACAUGUUAAUUAUUUUUGAAAGUUUUAAUUUUGAUGAAAUUUUAUAACUCGGUUAAAUACGUUUACAAGUGUAUGUGUUUUGGUAAUGCCUCGUACCCUAUUCCGGUGUUGGAUACGGGUAAGGGGUGUUACAUUUAGUGGUAUCAGAGCUACGGUUUAGUCGGUUCUCGGACCAAACGUAGCAUAUGUGAGCCUAGCUAUACAUGCCACGUUAUUACUCUUGAUGAUGUGAUAUCUCCGGGCUCUAACGAAAUUGCUUUGUUAAGACAGAGAUGAUUUUCAAUCGAGCUAUUUUCGAUAAUGCUAAAAAUGAUAUUGAGAUAAAUGAAAUAUGCUCACAUUAUGUUGGAAUUUGGAAAGGUAAGUAUAAAAAUUUGUGAUAUGGAUGUGUUCAUGUAUGAAAAGAGAUGACUAUAAGUUAAAAAAAAAAGUUUAUGUUGUGAUAAGCUCAUCCAAGUAUGUUGGUGAUUAUAUAAUGCUAUGUGCUCAACAUAUUUGAUUAAGUGAAUAUGAUAAGCAAAUUUACUUAAAUAGAUGGAACGUGUGUAUGUACAUCUGCUUGAAUAAGUGAAAUUAGUGACUGAACAAGAAAGCACAUCCAGUUGGAAACUUUUUCUUGCCAAAUCUGUUGAAAACACAUCCAUUUUCCUUCUCUCUCUCCAAAAUCAACUUAAUCCAAUAAAUUUCGAAAAACUGACCUAAUCUAAUAGUUUUUCUAAAAAAUUAGCACUUUUGGGUAAUUCACCCACAUAUUCUAGCCUAAUUCUUAGUGUAUUUUUGGGUGAUUAUGUGACAUUAAUGGUGAAUUAUAUACUUCUAAUAUUUUAUAUUCAUGUUUUGAUGCUUAAUAGGGCACUUAGGAACAUAGGAGUGAAAAAAAUAGAAAUUAGAACAUUAGAGCAUUUCGGAAGUUGUAUACAUGUAACAGACUUUCACACGGGCAAUCCACAUGGCCAUGUGAUCCACACGGCCGUGUGUACAGGGCGUGCCGAUUUUAGAGGUGUCCAUGGGCCUGGCGGCCCGGCCCGGCCCGACGGCCCGCCCGGAAUAUGGGAAGGUUUGGGUAAAAAUAUAGGCCUGAAAUAUGGGUUUGGGCAAAAAACGAGGUCUGUUUAGACGGGCUGGGCCUCGGGCACCACUUUUUUGUCCCGGGCUCGGGCCAAAUUUAAUAAAUAUAUAUUUUUAUUCUUAUUUUUUAAUUUUAAAAUAUUUUUAAUAUACUUUUAUUUUUAUUUUUUUAUUUUUAAAAUAAUUUUUUGGUGUUUAUUAAAAAAUGGGCCGGGCCGGGCUCGAGCUUAGGAUUUUAUUCCUGGACCAGGCCUGGACAAAAUUUCAGGCCCAUAUUUCAGGUCGGGCUGGGCCCGGGACUAGGAGGCGGGCUGAAAAUUUUUUGGGACCCGACCCAAACCUGGCUCGGCCCGACCCAUGGACAACUGUAGUCGAUUCCGAAACCAUGUGUUGUAACACCCAUUACCCGGUCUGGUUGUUAGACUUGCGCUACAGGAGGUUACCACACGAACACAAAACAUUUACAUACUUUAAACAUACAGAUACACAAAAAUGGCGAACUAAUAUGUGGCGAAUCGCUCCAACGGAUUAUUCAACUAAGUAGAGAAAUUUAAAUGACGAAACUACAGAUACACAAAAAUGGCAGACUAUUCUACAGAUGCCCCACUCUACGAUUUCAUGGAAUUUAAGACAUGGAACAUAAUAGAACUAAACUUCAAUUUAUUAUCAUGCAUCUCAGAACUUAACGAGAUUAUUUAUAAAUAACCUAACAUUUAUAUACAUGCCACUUAGACUGACUCAAUUAAGUCAGAAGUCUGCCCCAAUGUUUGACGGAUAGUGUGGACUUCUUGUUGAUCUAAUCAACGAGCUCUAAAUGUUCCAAAAAUCUUUAAGACAAAAGCAAUCUAAACAUAAGUAUUUAGAAUAUUUAGUAAGAUCAUACAAAUUCGAUAGUUACUUACUUGGCAUAACAAUAUUAUUAUAAUUUAAUAUGCAAAUACAAUUUAUCUAUUCGCCAACAGUAUUCGCCAAUAAGGUGAGUGCACAUAUUUCAUUACACAUAAUAUCCUAAGUAAGUAACUCAAUACAAUGCCCUUAUUCAUAUCUAAUCCAAUCUCAAACUUGUCGUUGAUGCGGACUCCCAUUAUAGAAAUUAUUUCUUUCAUAUUCUCCCAUUUCUUAACUUGCAAAUUUCACAUUUCAUGCUUUAUAUUACUUGAUAAACACUGUAAAAGAACUCAAAACACAAGUACUCUUCACGUCAUAGGCUCAUUUGAGCUAAUCACAUACAGAGGUGUUAGGUUACCUAUCCGGGCUAAACCUUUAUUAACACAAUGAAAGCCUAACCAGGGCUAUAUAUAAAUGUAAGGUUACCAGUAUAGGCUAAACCUUUAAAACAACAUCAAAUUACAAGUCCAAGCUAAAUCUGUGCUACAUGUAUCUUCAAGUCCGCAACAAAUGCUGGAGCUCGAAAUUAUCAGGAAAUACAUGUAACCAUGUGUAUGAGUCUUUUACCAUUUCAUCAGGACGCUAUCAUUCUGUAAUUUUAUUUACAUUCCUUCAUACAUAACUCAAUAUUUCUUAUAUAUUUAUAUUUUGCAACCAACUACUUAUCGAAUUUCAAUUAUACAAUGUAAGAACGAAAUGGAAAGAAAGUUAAAUAAUGUUCAUAUUGUAUGAACUUACCUGACAGAAUGAUCACUCGCCACACUAGAGUCUACUCAACAACUUUUCAUUUCUCGUGAUCUUCUCAUGGCAGAUUCAAAUCCUGAUCUGUAACAUAAUUCCAAUUCAAUUUUUAUUAACCAACACCAUUCAUCAACUUAUAAAACACAUAAGUUAGUUCAUUUCCAUCACUCUAGCUUCCUUUAAACCUACUACUUAACCAAUCAAGCCAUUUAUAACAAUGUUUUAUGAAAAUCUUAAUGUCAUAUCCCAUAUAUAUAUUUUUAAAUUGUAGUGCAAAAACAAUGAAAUGUGUAGUCUAGUGGUCGUAAGCCCCUAAGCUAUUUAGGAGGUCUUUAGUUCGAAUCCCUUUGGUACUUCAUUUUUAUUAAAAUUUUGUACACUGUUCCUAUGUGCAUUAAAGCAUUGUCGUCCAACCCAAUUAUUGCCUUAAUUGGUUUGAUUCUUUUCCCCUUUUAUGGGUCAAACUUGCCAUAAGCUGGGGAACAUGAUCCCCCUUUAUGCUCCUACGUUCAUUCUCCUUCCUUUCACCCUAUCCUUGCUAAAAAUCAAGUGUUGACCACCCUAAAAAACCUCAUUUUCGUCCAACCCUCUGAUUCCCUCUUUUUUCUUUUCUUUUUUCUCUCCUCUCCUCUCCACUCUAUUUUCUUUUAUUUUUGACAAAACAACCACCACCUAAAAUUCCUCCACUGUGAGCUAUAGCUUCACCACCUCCACACCACUAUCCAAGGUUCUCUUCUCCUCUUUUCUUUAGAUCACCGCCUUUCACCAUCGUCGCUGUGAGCCGCCUCGAACCAUCGUGGGAAAACCUUCCUCCACCACUUCUUUUCUUUUAUCUUUUCUUCAAUAUUGUGACCAAAACCCCCACUCUUUUUAUAUUUUUUCUCUUUUCAUUAGACCACCACCGAACCAUUAUCGUCGCUGCCAUCUCCAACACCGUUUUCUGUUGGGAUUCAAUUUUCUCUUUUUCUUCUCUUUCGAUCUCUUCCAUCUCUUCUAAGGAUUUAAUCAUCCUAUCUUAUUUAUUUUAUAUUCAAACUUAUCGAUCAUAUAAUUUUUGUAGAUCGUUAAACCUCUCCGCUCCUUUGGCGAGAUUCAUCAUUGAUUUUAUUGUGUUAUUUAGUAGUGUAAAUACAUGAGGAGAAUUGAGAUCAUUCUUUUUUCUUUAUAUUUUCUUUGUAACACCCCCUAACUCGUAUCUGACGCCAGAAUAGGGUUACAGAGCAUUACCGAACUUAUAACUCAAUCAAUCAAACAUUUUAUAUACAUUUCUCAUUCAAUUCAAAAACCAUUCAUAAACAUUCAUAUGGUCCCAAAUACGAGCCAUCGAGGCCCAAAAUACACAUUAAAAGUGGUCCGGGACUAAACCGAGUACUCAAGAAAUUUUUAGAAAAAUUUUAAAAUAUUUCAACAUGAGGGGACACACGUUCGUGUGGCCAAGCCAUGUGAGCCCGUGUCUCAGGCCGUGUGGGCAUUCGAAAUGGGAAUACACAGUCGUGUCCCAACCUGUGUGUGACCCCGUGUAACUCACUGAUGGGUCACACGGCCAACCCACACGCCUAUGUGCCAAGCUGUGUACCCUUCGAAAUGGCCUCAUUUUCCAAGCUACAUUUCUCACCCAAAUAAGUACCAACCUUGACACCACAAUGGGCAUACAACCUUGGCAUAAUAGGCAUUCAAAACCAACCAAUAUCAAGUUUAUAACAUGCAAUAUCCACACAUACAACAUGAUAUUUAUAAGCACAUCAAUUGACCACUUUAAAACAUGUCAAAUGUACUUCCAAAAUAUACCUAAAUGGUCAAACUUAUAUAUGAGACAUUGUACCUAACUUAGCAUGCAUACGACAUUUCAAUUUCAAUCAUUUGGUAUCCCAAAUACCAAUUCACAAACAAGACAUUCACAUAGCAAUUACACCACACAUAUCAUAAGGUCAUUUACACCUAUUUACAUAUCAAAACAUAUACCAUUUUCAAGCCAACUCAAAAUGGCUAAAUACACAACAAAACAUAUAGGCUAUAAUUAGCCAAAAUGACCUAUACAUGCCAUUUAACCAAAAUAUAUAAGUCCAAAGUACGAAAGUAAGCAUUUGAUAGUGUGAUGCAGUCUCCGACAACUUCCAAUCCGAACGAGCUUUCGAAUCACUAUAAAACACGGAAAAAUAAACAGAGUAAGCAAUUAAGCUUAGUAAGUUCGUAUAAUACAGAAUUAAACUUACCAUUUAACCAUAAAUUUAGGUAAGUAACUCAAAGCAUAACAUAAUUCAAUUUGGCCAAAGCCUAUCACACAACCAUUAACCAAGUUAGCCAUGUAUUCAUAUAAAUCGAGAAUCAUGUAUAAAUUCAACAAUUAUUAAAUUUCAUGUACAUGUACCAUCUAUACCGUGUAUUCGUAUAUCAUAUAAAAACCAUUUUCAUGUAAAUACUUGUAUUAGUUCGUAUUGAACUUGUGUAAUCUCGUAAUAACACUAUGCCUAUUGAACCACUUAGAAUAUCGUUAGAUACACAGGUAGUACACAUGAGGUGUAUUGAACUGUAAUCCAUCAAUUCUUGUACAUGUAUGCUUAUACGAGCGAUAAAUAGGAAGCUCCUCCGAGCUGAAUAACAAUAAACUCAUACGAGUUGUGAAUCGAUAAGCUCUCAUGAGCUAAAAUUGGUAAGCUCAUACGAGUUGUGGUGUGUCCGCAACACAUGCAGGACCACAACCAAAUCGGUAACCCUAAAGACAUGUCAUUUGUAUCCUACGAAUUUCUAAGGUUCAAACGGGACUUGGUAUUCUUCUUACAUCGUCGGUUAUGUGCUCGAUAAUUAUACAUAAUAAUUAAACCAUUCACAUACAUAUGAUUCAAUUAAAGCAUAUAAAUACGCAAUUUAAUUACACAAACUUACCUCAAACUCGUACAACAUAAUAUGAUCAUUUAGUCCAUGACUUUAUCCUUUCCCCGAUUUAAUUCCGAAUAUUGCUUUGCUUGACCUAUAUAAUCAAAUUUAACUCAUUUAAUCUUUAAUAUAUUCAAUUCAAUCCAAAAUUCAUAUUUUGACAAAAUUACUAUUUUGUCCCUAUAUUUUUGAUUUUUUUAAAAUUUAGUCCCUAAGUUCGUAAAAAUAGAAUUUAUGCAAUUUCUCUACACCCAAGCCUAGAAAAUAUCCUAUGUGCUCAUAUUAGCCCAUAAAUUUUACAAUUUCACAUAUUUAACACAUACUUUUCAUAUUUCUCAAUUUAAUCCCUAUUUGACAAUUUUAUUAAAAAUCACUUAACAAAAGUUGUUUAACUAACAACAAAGAUUCAUUUUCAUCCAUUAAACUUCAAAACCCUAUUAUAUUCAUUAAUGGAAAAACUCAAACUAUUCAAUAGUUUUGCAAAUUAGCCCCCUAGUUAGUUAGGUUAAGUUACAACAAUCCCGAAAACAUAAAAACCAUUAAAAUGGGAUUGGUUUUCACUUACAUGCAAGAGAUUUCUUAGCCAAAAGUUUCAAACUCUCCAAGCUCCCCUCUUUUCUGUAAAAAUUGGUUCAUGCAUGAAUGGAGAAGAUGACCUUUUGUUUUAUUUUAUUUUUAUCAUUAAUUUACCUAAUUACCAUUUUACCCUUACCUAACUUUAAAAAUUACUCAAUUACCAAGCCAUGCACACUUUACUAUCACCUUUAAUGGUCUAAUUACCAUAUAAGGACCUCCACUUUAAAGUUCUAUAGCUAUUUAACACCUUUAGGUAAUAGAACACAACUUUCACACUUUACGUAAUUUAGUCAUUUUCAUCAAAUUGAACAUGUAAACGUUAAAAUUUCUUAACGAAAUUUUUAUACUAUAAUUCUAUCAUGCUGUAGAUAUUAAAAAAUAUUAAAAUAAAUUUUUUGACUUCGGAUUUGUGGUCCAAAAACUACUAUUCCGAUUUCACUGAAAACGGGCUAUUAUAUUCUUCCUAUAAUAGAAUAGUGAUAGAAUAUUUACAUCCUUCAUGUGUUAACAUUUUGUCCCUAUGUUCUUUGAAGGACCAAAUGACGCCAACGUAAGAAAUCCUUAGUGUGAUAACGAAGACAUUGAAUCCAAGUGUUGAUCUAAGGGUAAGUAGUUGGUGAGAUUUAUUUCAAUAAACAAUCUUUAAGUAAUAAACCAUAUCCGAUGGAUCUAUAACUAAAAUACUUAUUUGGUGCGUUAGAUUCAUCUAUCAGGUUUAGAUUCAAGCGAAAUCUCUUCUAAUAGGAUUGUGACAAUUGGAUCUACAAUAUAAGGUGUGGGAUCUAAAUCUUUAAUGUGAGUAUAAUAUGUCACUUUCAAUUUUAAUAAUAUGCUAUUAAAUAAUUAUUUGAGAGUACACUAAGUACUCAAUGCAAAGUUGAAAAACUUGUAACACCCCAAAUUCGAUCUAGACGUUAUGGUCGAAUCUGGCGUGUUACAUCGAAGUGUCUUUCAAAAAUUAGACUUGUUGGUAAAAACUCGCUUCUAAGUUUAAAAACCCCUUUAUUAUUAUUUAAGAAAUCAUCUAGUCAAAACGUUUGCCUUGUUAUCUGCUAUUGUUAUAAAAGGUUGAUCUAAAAUCGUGGAAGCUUUUGAAAAAUCCAAUGUUUAAAUUUCUGUCUUUAAAAACAGUAAUUAUUUUGAGAAUUCGUCUUCUCCUAAACUAGCAGUUUAAAAUAAGUAAGCAAAAACCUAGUUAAAAAUUUAAACAAACAUAAAUGGCCUUAUUACAAAAACAAAACCCAACACAAACUUUAAAUUUAAAUAAAAGCAAGUGUAGAACAGCUGCAGUUGUGUGGCCACCUCCGAGUCCCUCGCAACGCCAAAUCGUCUAUGGCUGAGGAUUACCUGUAAAGUUAAAAGGAAAGGGUUAGUUUACGAAAACUUAGUGUGUAAACCCCUAUCAGUCAAUCAGUAUACAACAUGCAGAAUAGUCUGGGCUUGAGCCCUAUUCAGUAACAGUACAGUGUGAGCCUUAGCCCAUUACAGUAUCAGUAUAGUGUAAUAAUGUAACCCAUCCCAAUCCAGCCAACACACAACUCCGUACCACCAACACACCAUGUGGGGAUAAAAUCAACCCACCCAGCCAACACACCAAUAUCGCAUUAAAGCUGCCAAUAAUAAAAGUAUCGCAGCAAAGCUGCCAAUAACAAUAUACUUCCUCCAUAACAAUAUCCCAACCCCAUACAGUAUGUCAUGUCAUAAAUCAUACGUGUAGGCAGAAUUUCAUACUCGAUAAUAGUCAUAUACAAAUCAUGAACACAUCAGUCAACCUACUUCUAGGGGUAUAAUGGUCAUUUUAUCUAUUAGGGGUAAAAUAGUCAUUUUACCAUUUAGGAGUAUUUUGGUCAUUUUACCUAUUUUGAGGUCUCGGUGUGGCCUGUUUAGCCCAGAUUUUUCCCCAGCUAUGAGAUCUACAUAGCCCAGUCCAACAUUUGCCACAAAUCAUGGAUUUCAUCUGUAUAGGGCCCACGAGCCUAUUGAACCCACACGGCCUAUUUCGACCCAAUAUGGCCCAUUAUGGCCUAAGCCCAUGAAAAUUCUCAUAGAGGCCUCUACAGUCUAUCGCCAAUGGUUCGUGGGUUUGGAUUACCACACGAGCGAUUGCAUGCUCGUGUGGUCUCAACGCUGUAUUUUUGGCUUUUCAGCUUUUGUCGUUCUACAGUUACAAUGAGGUGUUUACACACCUGAUUAUGAAAAUGCACUAAGAUCCACGAGCACCAAAGCCUACAUUCAUACAAGGCUUUCCAUUAGUCGCUGAACAAUAGGGUUAAUCUCCCCCUUUUACACCAUUAACCAAAACUAAAAUUAACACUUGCCUUGAUUGUCAAAUGUGGCUUAGCCCACUUAUACCACUGACGAAGGUUGACUACAAUCUCUUUGACGGAUAUCUGCAUUACAAAUGUAUUUUAUUAAACAGUAUUGCUUAUUCAUGUGGUUUAAAUCCAUACAUGAUAACUCACAGAACCGCAGAAAGCACUCGGCCUACACUUUAGAAUGCUAGCCUACAUACUUACCUUUGAUCGAGUGGUGAAAGAAAGGUUUUGACAACUUUAAUAUCACUUGAAACUCCUUCACUUCUCGGGGAAUUCGAACCAUCAGAGAAUAGUUUUCAAGUUGAAACAAAAUUGAAGAGAUGAAUAGGGAGAGAGAAGCAAUAUUCGACAAACAGUUGACCGAAAAAGGGGUAGAAAAAGAAGAGCAAAUCAAAAGAAAGAUGCAACACGAAUCUACUCAACACUAUUUGGUUAAGGUUUGGGAAAGUAGAGGAGAUAAAAGAAACAAUAAAGAGAAGAGGGGAAGAGAAAUGAGGAUUCGACAGAGAAGAGAACCAAAGAGCUAUUCGACCAAAAUAAAAAGGGAAUUAAAGGGAAUAACAGAAAAAGAAAACGAACAAACCCGAGAGGUACAAGAAAUCUUAGUAAAAAUUUGGCACCAAAAGUAAAAAAAGUGAAAAGAAUACUGACUGAAACCGAAGCAGACAGAGAGAAAACAACCCAAAAACCCCAAAAUUAGUUAUCUUAGUGCCUAGUGACAAAAUUUGGCACAAACACUACUCAUCACCCCAACUUCCACGAUUUUCUCCUAAAAUCACUCGACCACAUCAAAAUCUCACUAUUCUCUUCAUGAUUCACUCCCCCAUUCAAAUUCCACAGCAUUUCUGUCAAACUCCACCAACUCACAGCACAGGUGAUAAAAAUAAACACUCCAUAGUGCAACACUAGACUCGAACCACAGACCUCAAGAAUACUUCACACGCCACCUACCACUGGACCAAUAGGCUCUUUAUGUGUCAUAAAACAAGCACUAUUAUUAAUAAAGCUUAUAUGCCAGUGCCUGGAUUAAUUUAAGAGCAAAACUAAAAAAAAUCUGCAAAAGCCAAGACUUGAACCCAGGCUUCUCAAACACUCCUAUACACACCCAAAUCACUUAGCCAUUAAGGCAAACAAGCAAUUUGUGCCAUAUCAUGCAAAAAUUAAAGACUUAAAUUUUAGGGCGUUAUAAAACUCAUCAAAAGGAAACCUAAGUAAGUGCUCAUAAAUCAUUAGUUCAUGAAAACUAUGAUUUGUGAUGUGUUGAUGUAUGUGAAGAUGACAUGUGUGCAAAUCUUAUCUCUAUGUUAUGUGAUACAUGUCUUAAUUGAUAUGUUGAUUAUUUAAACAUGUGUUGUAUAUAUGUGUGUGAUGAGAUCCAUGAUUUAAUAUGAAAAAUAUAUAUUAAAGCAUGCUAAAGUGAAUAAAAAGUGAAUAUUAUAUGAUAUAUGAAAAUGUGAGCAUGUUUACAUGCAAAUGUGUAAAAUUGAGAAAUAUGUGUUAUGUAAGAUUAUGAGCAUGAUUAUAUGAAAAAUACGAAAAGUGAUUAUAUGUGUUAAAAUGGUCAUAUCACAUGCAUGUGGUGGAUAUUGUGAAAGGUGAAAGUUAUGUGGCAGUUCAUCUGCGAUUAUGUGGUUGUUUUCGGUAAUUAUGUGGUGGCUUGUCCACAAUGUGUUAUGUGGCUGUUUAUCGGCAUUAAUGUGAUGGCUUAUCCACAAAUAGUGUGUUAUUGGAUGGAUGGGUUUUAGGGAAUUCGAUAUUGGUAUGUAACAGAUAUGGGUAGGAAGUUCUUCAAAAUGUGUAGGAAAUUCUUCAAAAUGUGCAUUGUUGCAUAAACAUGCCUCGAUAUAUUCAUACAUGUGUAUUUGUGAUGAUAUGAGAUUUCUACAAAUAUGAUAUAUAUUGAAAUGGAUGUGUUUACUUGAUGUGUUGUUAUGUAUGUUACAAUAUUUUGAUGAUCUCACACUGGGCUUGUAAGCUCACCCAUCUUAUGUGUAUGUUUCAGGUAAUCCUCGUUAUUAGGACUCGGAUGCGGAUUUUAGGUGAUGCUCUUGGAUGUGAACUUUUUAAUAAAUUAUGGAUUUUAUAUUUUUUUAUGGACUUUGAUUUGGGUUUGUUUUAAUAACUUUUUGGGACUUUAUAUUAAAUUGUGGACUAUGGCAUUGGGAUUUUCAUUUAUGAUUUUUUUUUGGAUUUCAGUUUUAAAUUAUCAUUAAACAUUUUUAAGAUUUAGUAUUCGCUGCAAAUGUGUUUUCAAAACUAAAUUAUAACACAAGUAUUUUAAUAAAAAGGAACUGAUAAAUUUUAUUGAAAAGAACUUGAUAUUUCCAAAAUGACAUGUUUCAAAAACAAAGGGACUUUUCUUCUGAAAACAUUUUGGCCAUCUUCAUGGCCCAUGUAAUUGCUCAGAUUAGGUCGUAACGUCUAGGUCUAGUUUGAGGGGUUACACUUAAGCUAAUUUUGAAAUGUCUCUAUUUUAAUUGUUAUUCGAAACUAAAAAUUUCUAAUUCUACCAAAUGGCUUUUUAUCAUAGCUUUUCAUCUAGUUUAAACAUUUAACAUCAUGAAGAUCAAGCAUUUAACAAUGGUAAUCUCAAUAAGUCUUUAAAAGUUCUGGAAAUAAACAUCACUAUUAGCUAAAUUGAAGCACGACAAAUUCAGAAACAUCAAAUUCAAGCAAAACAUACUUGAAUUAACUUACCGUCCAAGAACAUAAAGCUAGACCAAGUUUUCCUAGCAUAAUAGAGAAGAAAAACGGUGAUGGAGAGGAUCAAGAAUAGAAUAAUAAAAUGCUUCUUUCCAUCCAUUAAGCUACUGCAUAUAUAUGUCUAAUCUAAUUUAUUAAUUAGGAUUAACAUCAUUACAUGUAAGGUAAAAACCAACACUUGUCUGGCCAUUAACUAUGAAAAUGGCUAAAUUAUCAAUUUGGUCCCUAAAUAAUUAUCAUAUUACCAGUAGUGAAAGAAAUCUAUAGUGGUUAACUUUUACCACCUUUAUGAUUUCAUCCUUAUACUAAAAUAAAUUAUCCAAUUAAUCAAAUUAACAAACUAGAAUUUCAUAUAACACUGUAAUAAACUAAUAUAUAUUAAAUAUUAAAACUUACUGACUCCAUCAUUGGUAAAUAGGGCUCUAAAACCACCCUUUCCGGUACCACUGGAAACAUGUUGUUACAUGUGCGCUAACAGAUGGAAGUCACGAUUUUUAGGUUUUUUGGCACUUUAAGAAGGUAUAAAUAAGGAAAUAAAAAAGAAAAGAAGCAACGCCAAGAGGUAGCAAGAAAAUUAACCAACAAACGUCAUUGAAGUCGAUUUCCAAGCAAUUUUCCAUCAAGAUUCAAGAGUCCAAGCCGAUUUCCAAUGGAGUUAUCAUGGACUUAUUUUAUUUUAGUGGUAUAUUGUAUUUUUUGUGUUUAUUUUUGCAAUUAUAAACUAAUUCUCUUAAUAUUUAGGGAAGAUGAACCCUAGGAUGGAUUGUAUUGUUUGAUUUCUAGUUAUAUGCAAUAAAAUCUUAGUUUCUUUGUUUUAAAUUAUGAAUGCUUAAUUAUUCUUGGGUUGACAAUUCUAAAGUGUUAAUCCAUGUUUGAUGUGCAUAAGUCUAAGGUUGAAUAAUGAUUAGAUCUUGCAUAAUUAAAUGGAGUUCCAUGUAAUCCUAAAAAUAGGAUGACAUAAAUCUACUAAAUUAGAAUCAAAUCUAAUAGGGUGAUCCAUAGAGCAAAUUAAUGCAAUAAUAGGGGUUUUAAUUAGAAAUAAAUUCCAAUUAAUCAACUAGAGUUAGUUGCUCUUAUACUUGAAAGAGAUAUUAGUAUAAAUUAAGGAUUUCUAAGGAUCAAAGAGCUAAGAAAAGAAAUUGCUAAGAAAAAAUUGAGAAUUAUGGAUGAAAUCUAGGUGGAUUCUUACCUAGGUAUUGUUUUUGUCACUUGGUUGAUAUUUGAUUGUUUUUGUAUUUUAUUCUUUGGUGCAUUCAUUAGUUAAUUUAGAUAGUUGAUUUAAUUUUAGUUAAGAUAUUGAAUUAUUAGGUUAAACAAUAGAAAUGUGAUAAUUACUAAUAAUCGUAGUUCUCAAGGGAACGAUAUUUGUGUUCACCAUAGCUAUAGUAUUAAUUGAUAGAUGCAUUUGCCUUAAGUCAAUUUAUUAGUUAGUUUAGUGGACAGCAAUGGAUAAAUGUUAUUAAACCAAGUAAUGAAUAACCAAAAAUAUAGUUAAUAAUAUAUUUUUUAAAUGACUAAACUUAUAAAUUUUCUAUUUAAUCAAAAGUAAAAAGGACCUAAAUUAAAUCUUUUAUUCUUAAGAAAGAGCUAAAGAAGAAUUUUUCCAUUUAGCUGGGGAUGACGACUUGCCUUUUUUUUUCGGAUAAUGGAAGAAGGCAACCAACUGCCUUUAGAUCAAAUAAAUCUUACAUGUGAUGCACCAAGUUUAUCUUCUAACAACAAUUUCCUAACAAGAAAGCUAGAAAACUCAAAAAUAAUAAGUUGAACACCAUCAAUCGAACCUGAUUUAGCAAACCAAUAUGCUACCAUGUUACCCUCUCUUGGAACAAACUGGAACUUAACCUCUUGUAACUAUCUUUUAACCUCAUUAAUCAUUCAUACAAGGGCCAUCGAAGGAGUAUUCAAAGAACUUUCCAUUAUCAUCUCAACAGCAUCUAUGCAGUCACUUUCAACAAUAACCUUAUUAUAAUUCCCUAAUCGAGCCACUUCUAGUCCAUUUAAAAUAUCCCAUAACUCGGACUUAACAACAGAUCCCCUCUCGAUACAUUUCCCGAAACCUUCCAUCCAAUUCCUCGUCGAGUCUCGCACCAUUCUACCAACCAUCAACCAGUGUCCAUUCACAUUUGAAGACCCAUCAACAUUGACCUUAACCUAUCCAAGACUCAGCGGACGCCAUUUUACCCUCACACACCUUGACUUGCAAAUAUUAGAAACAAAGCAAUCUACCCUACAAACAAUCUCUUCAGGCCUAUUUGUUAUUUGCUAAAAGAUAAAAUUAUUCCUAUUUUUCCACAACAACUAGCACAAGGUAGCAUAAAUUUCCGCAUGAGUAUCAUUACCACUAAAAUCACCAGUCAAAUUGACUACUACCCAGUCCAAAAGAUCUAAACUAAAGAAGUGAGACAAAGAAUUCGGGGAUAUCACCGUUUCCAUACCUUAGCCACAACAGUGCAGCCAUACAAAGCAUGAAUUAUUGUUUCCUAAUUAUCCCCAUACAAGGUGCAGCCCGUUGUAAGUGACAGAUUCCUCUUGGCCCUUUCAAAAUUUGUUAAGAGCUUCUGGUGCAAAACUAGCCAAAGUGCUUCAUUCUCGGUGGUAGAUUGGUCUUCCAAAUUCCACUCCAAACACUGGCCCUUGCUUGAUCAUCCAUUUGUACUAAACUAUUAUAUGUCGCUUUAACAGAAAACUUCCCAGCUUUAUGUGGUCGCCAAAGACAAUUAUCCCUACCCGCCACAUCAUAUGGGGGAGGGCAUAUUGCUAUAUACUCCAAGACAUCCCUACCCACAUACCACCACAGAGCUGAUCAG
This 30443-nucleotide long non-coding RNA is filed under the name Gossypium barbadense (sea-island cotton). Its description in RNAcentral is "long non-coding RNA (GBAR_LNC015228)". The stretch from base 3535 to 3625 matches the Rfam family "tRNA". Lineage: Eukaryota; Viridiplantae; Streptophyta; Magnoliopsida; Malvales; Malvaceae. The record is from RNAcentral.